RNAcentral lists this ribosomal RNA (496 nucleotides) under uncultured bacterium. RNAcentral describes it as "partial 16S ribosomal RNA". It matches the Rfam family "Bacterial small subunit ribosomal RNA", at positions 29 to 507 of the family's 1533-position model. The record is from RNAcentral.
AUGAACGCUGGCGGCGUGCCUCAUACAUGCAAGUCGAGCGAACAGACGAGGAGCUUGCUCCUCUGAUGUUAGCGGCGGACGGGUGAGUAACACGUGGAUAACCUACCUAUAAGACUGGGAUAACUUCGGGAAACCGGAGCUAAUACCGGAUAACAUGUUGAACCGCAUGGUUCAACAGUGAAAGACGGUCUUGCUGUCACUUAUAGAUGGAUCCGCGCCGCAUUAGCUAGUUGGUAAGGUAACGGCUUACCAAGGCAACGAUGCGUAGCCGACCUGAGAGGGUGAUCGGCCACACUGGAACUGAGACACGGUCCAGACUCCUACGGGAGGCAGCAGUAGGGAAUCUUCCGCAAUGGGCGAAAGCCUGACGGAGCAACGCCGCGUGAGUGAAGAAGGUCUUCGGAUCGUAAAACUCUGUUAUUAGGGAAGAACAAAUGUGUAAGUAACUAUGCACGUCUUGACGGUACCUAAUCAGAAAGCCACGGCUAACUACGUG